This 490-nucleotide ribosomal RNA is filed under the name uncultured bacterium. RNAcentral describes it as "partial 16S ribosomal RNA". It matches the Rfam family "Bacterial small subunit ribosomal RNA", at positions 30 to 507 of the family's 1533-position model. The record is from RNAcentral.
AUUGAACGCUGGCGGCAGGCCUAACACAUGCAAGUCGAACGGUAACAGGAAGCAGCUUGCUGCUUCGCUGACGAGUGGCGGACGGGUGAGUAAUGUCUGGGAAGCUGCCUGAUGGAGGGGGAUAACUACUGGAAACGGUAGCUAAUACCGCAUAAUGUCGCAAGACCAAAGAGGGGGACCUUCGGGCCUCUUGCCAUCGGAUGUGCCCAGAUGGGAUUAGCUUGCUGGUGGGGUAACGGCUCACCAAGGCGACGAUCCCUAGCUGGUCUGAGAGGAUGACCAGCCACACUGGAACUGAGACACGGUCCAGACUCCUACGGGAGGCAGCAGUGGGGAAUAUUGCACAAUGGGCGCAAGCCUGAUGCAGCCAUGCCGCGUGUAUGAAGAAGGCCUUCGGGUUGUAAAGUACUUUCAGCGGGGAGGAAGGGAGUAAAGUUAAUACCUUUGCUCAUUGACGUUACCCGCAGAAGAAGCACCGGCUAACUCCGUG